CAGCCGCCGCGGGAAUACGGAGGGGGCUAGCGUUGUUCGGAAUUACUGGGCGUAAAGCGCACGUAGGCGGCUUUGUAAGUUAGAGGUGAAAGCCCGGAGCUCAACUCCGGAAUUGCCUUUAAGACUGCAGAGCUAGCAGGUGAGAGAGGUGAGUGGAAUUCCGAGUGUAGAGGUGAAAUUCGUAGAUAUUCGGAAGAACACCAGUGGCGAAGGCGGCUCACUGGCUCAUACUGGACGCUGAGGUGCGAAAGCGUGGGGAGCUAACAGGAUUAGAUACCCCCGUAGUCCCUGUCUCUUAUAC
This 301-nucleotide ribosomal RNA is filed under the name uncultured bacterium. RNAcentral's name for it is "partial 16S ribosomal RNA". It matches the Rfam family "Bacterial small subunit ribosomal RNA", at positions 509 to 807 of the family's 1533-position model. The record is from RNAcentral.